This 253-nucleotide ribosomal RNA is filed under the name uncultured bacterium. RNAcentral describes it as "partial 16S ribosomal RNA". It matches the Rfam family "Bacterial small subunit ribosomal RNA", at positions 524 to 776 of the family's 1533-position model. The record is from RNAcentral.
UACGUAGGGGGCAAGCGUUGUCCGGAUUUAUUGGGCGUAAAGAGCGCGUAGGCGGCCUGACAGGUCUGCUGUGAAAACUCGAGGCUCAACCUCGAGAUGUCGGCGGAAACCGUCUGGCUAGAGUCCGGAAGAGGAGAGUGGAAUUCCUGGUGUAGCGGUGAAAUGCGCAGAUAUCAGGAAGAACACCUAUGGCGAAGGCAGCUCUCUGGGACGGUACUGACGCUGAGACGCGAAAGCGUGGGGAGCGAACAGG